RNAcentral lists this ribosomal RNA (553 nucleotides) under uncultured Methanosaeta sp. RNAcentral's name for it is "bacterial SSU rRNA". It matches the Rfam family "Archaeal small subunit ribosomal RNA", at positions 21 to 580 of the family's 1478-position model. The record is from RNAcentral. Lineage: Archaea; Methanobacteriati; Methanobacteriota; Methanomicrobia; Methanotrichales; Methanotrichaceae.
AGUUACUGCUAUCGAGGUUCGACUAAGCCAUGCGAGUCGAAUGUAGCAAUACAUGGCGUACUGCUCAGUAACACGUGGAUAACCUACCCUCAGAACGGGGAUAAACCCGGGAAACUGGGUAUAAUACCCGAUAGAUCUCGGAGGCUGGAAUGCAUCGAGAUCAAAAGCUCCGGCGUCUGAGGAUGGAUCUGCGGCCUAUCAGGUAGUAGUGGGUGUAGCGUACCUACUAGCCUACGACGGGUACGGGUUGUGAGAGCAAGAGCCCGGAGAUGGAUUCUGAGACACGAAUCCAGGCCCUACGGGGUGCAGCAGGCGCGAAAACUUUACAAUGCUGGCAACAGCGAUAAGGGGACCUCGAGUGCCAGGUUACAAAUCUGGCUGUCGAGAUGCCUAAAAAGCAUUUCAUAGCAAGGGCCGGGCAAGACCGGUGCCAGCCGCCGCGGUAACACCGGCGGCUCGAGUGGUAACCGUUAUUAUUGGGUCUAAAGGGUCUGUAGCCGGCCGGAUAAGUCUCUUGGGAAAUCUGGCAGCUUAACUGUCAGGCUUUCAGGAG